Molecule: small nucleolar RNA, 64 nt
Filed under: Vulpes vulpes (red fox)
Lineage: Eukaryota; Metazoa; Chordata; Mammalia; Carnivora; Canidae
Source: RNAcentral
UGAAGGUGAUGAACUGUUUUAGCCUGACUUUGCAUCGCAGAGGCAAAAAACUAAUAUAAUAUAU